RNAcentral lists this ribosomal RNA (274 nucleotides) under uncultured bacterium. Its description in RNAcentral is "partial 16S ribosomal RNA". It matches the Rfam family "Bacterial small subunit ribosomal RNA", at positions 523 to 796 of the family's 1533-position model. The record is from RNAcentral.
AUACGGAGGGGGCUAGCGUUGUUCGGAAUUACUGGGCGUAAAGCGCACGUAGGCGGACUGAUCAGUUGGGGGUGAAAUCCCAGGGCUUAACCCUGGAACUGCCUCUAAUACUGCCAGUCUUGAGUUCGGGAGAGGUGAGUGGAAUUCCUAGUGUAGAGGUGAAAUUCGUAGAUAUUAGGAAGAACACCAGUGGCGAAGGCGGCCCACUGGCCCGAUACUGACGCUGAGGCGCGAAAGCGUGGGGAGCAAACAGGAUUAGAAACCCCAGUAGUCC